CAAUAGCGUAUAUUAAAGUUGUUGCAGUUAAAAAGCUCGUAGUUGGAUUUCUGGUGGGAGCGAUCGGUCUGGCGCUUAGCGCGAGUACUUGCAUCGUCUCCGGCCAUCCUUGGGGAAAGUCUGUCUGGCAUUAAGUUGUCGGGCAGAGGAUCCUCAUCGUUUACUGUGAAAAAAUUAGAGUGUUCAAAGCAGGCUUAUGCCGUUGAAUAUAUUAGCAUGGAAUAAUAAGAUAGGACUUUGGUACUAUUUUGUUGGUUUGCGCACCAAAGUAAUGAUUAAUAGGGACAGUUGGGGGUAUUCGUAUUCCGUUGUCAGAGGUGAAAUUCUUGGAUUUACGGAAGACGAACUACUGCGAAAGCAUCUACCAAGGAUGUUUUCAUUAA
Molecule: ribosomal RNA, 383 nt
Filed under: uncultured eukaryote
Lineage: Eukaryota
Description: partial 18S ribosomal RNA
Rfam family: Eukaryotic small subunit ribosomal RNA
Source: RNAcentral